RNAcentral lists this ribosomal RNA (1355 nucleotides) under uncultured bacterium. Its description in RNAcentral is "bacterial SSU rRNA". It matches the Rfam family "Bacterial small subunit ribosomal RNA", at positions 28 to 1381 of the family's 1533-position model. The record is from RNAcentral.
ACUGAACGCUGGCGGCAGGCUUAACACAUGCAAGUCGAACGAUGAAACUCUAGCUUGCUAGAGAAGAUUAGUGGCGGACGGGUGAGUAACAUUUAGGAAUCUGCCUAGUAGUGGGGGAUAGCUCGGGGAAACUCGAAUUAAUACCGCAUACGACCUACGGGUGAAAGGGGGCGCAAGCUCUUGCUAUUAGAUGAGCCUAAAUCAGAUUAGCUAGUUGGUGGGGUAAAGGCCUACCAAGGCGACGAUCUGUAACUGGUCUGAGAGGAUGAUCAGUCACACCGGAACUGAGACACGGUCCGGACUCCUACGGGAGGCAGCAGUGGGGAAUAUUGGACAAUGGGGGCAACCCUGAUCCAGCCAUGCCGCGUGUGUGAAGAAGGCCUUUUGGUUGUAAAGCACUUUAAGCAGGGAGGAGAGGCUAAUGGUUAAUACCCAUUAGAUUAGACGUUACCUGCAGAAUAAGCACCGGCUAACUCUGUGCCAGCCGCCGCGGUAAUACAGAGGGUGCGAGCGUUAAUCCGAAUUACUGGGCGUAAAGCCAGUGGAAGUGGCUCAUUAAGUCACAUGUGAAAUCCCCGGGCUUAACCUGGGAACUGCAUGUGAUACUGGUGGUGCUAGAAUAUGUGAGAGGGAAGUAGAAUUCCAGGUGUAGCGGUGAAAUGCGUAGAGAUCUGGAGGAAUACCGAUGGCGAAGGCAGCUUCCUGGCAUAAUAUUGACACUGAGAUUCGAAAGCGUGGGUAGCAAACAGGAUUAGAUACCCUGGUAGUCCACGCCGUAAACGAUGUCUACUAGCCGUUGGGGUCCUUGAGACUUUAGUGGCGCAGUUAACGCGAUAAGUAGACCGCCUGGGGAGUACGGCCGCAAGGUUAAAACUCAAAUGAAUUGACGGGGGCCCGCACAAGCGGUGGAGCAUGUGGUUUAAUUCGAUGCAACGCGAAGAACCUUACCUGGUCUUGACAUAGUGAGAAUCCUGCAGAGAUGCGGGAGUGCCUUCGGGAACUCACAUACAGGUGCUGCAUGGCUGUCGUCAGCUCGUGUCGUGAGAUGUUGGGUUAAGUCCCGCAACGAGCGCAACCCUUUUCCUUAUUUGCCAGCGGGUUAAGCCGGGAACUUUAAGGAUACUGCCAGUGACAAACUGGAGGAAGGCGGGGACGACGUCAAGUCAUCAUGGCCCUUACGACCAGGGCUACACACGUGCUACAAUGGUAGGUACAGAGGGUUGCUACACAGCGAUGUGAUGCUAAUCUCAAAAAGCCUAUCGUAGUCCGGAUUGGAGUCUGCAACUCGACUACAUGAAGCUGGAAUCGCUAGUAAUCGUAGAUCAGCAUGCUACGGUGAAUACGUUCCCGGGUCU